AUUAUGUUGUGAACCAUAUCCCAUAAACUACCCUGUUGUAAAAGUCGUCUUUGACAAACUACAUCUCCGUCAGACCUCCGUCCACUUUCUUCUCCAAACCAAAUACUGUUCAAGGUUUCUGCAUAAACGUAAACAAAAUCCUCGUGCAACAAUAAGAUUUAAAUUCGUAAAAAAAAUAGAAACAAUUUACGCUUAAAAUUCAGUGAAUCAUUUUGCAAACUAAUAGUGAAUUAAUUUUUACCAAAUGAAUAUUUUUUUUCAGAAAUUGAAUAGUUUAGACUCCGAUUCCAACCACUAUUCCCGUACUAUACGACAAUAGAUCGAAACCUCGUUACUGAAAUAUAUUUCACCAGAAGUUAUCGUCUACGUAUAUGUGUGGGACUCCGCCUAGAGUUUGUAAUUCUUGAGAAGCGCCUUUACCUUGGAGAAUAUAUAUCCCGUUCUUA
Eurytemora carolleeae is the source of this 446-nucleotide long non-coding RNA. RefSeq lists it as uncharacterized. The transcript has 2 exons. Lineage: Eukaryota; Metazoa; Arthropoda; Copepoda; Calanoida; Temoridae. The record is from RefSeq and is a predicted model, not a curated record.